This 523-nucleotide small RNA is filed under the name bovine gut metagenome. RNAcentral describes it as "ROOL RNA". It matches the Rfam family "ROOL RNA". From Rfam's summary of the family: Firmicutes, Fusobacteria (1 example), Tenericutes (1 example). Environment (Cow rumen (57)) The record is from RNAcentral.
UUUGAUCCAACUCGGUGCAGAAGGCUUUACAACCUGCCGAGGCGCGAUGGACUUCUCAGUAAGCAUCCUGAGGGAUACCUUGGGAGAGGAGCUGCCGUAUGCCAGCGAUGACAUGCGGGAAGGCAGAAACUGCCAACAGAAAAGUCGCGGCACCGUGCGAUAGUGAGAUAAAAGUUACUGUACUCGUGGGGCGGGCAAUAGACGCUCCGGUGGAGAAUAAUCCUGUAUGCCUCAUCCGUGGCUGGAUGAUGAAACAGCAGGAAAGCCAACAACCGCUCUGGAGUUGAAAACGGGAAACCGUAUAUAACACGAGAAACAGGUUCGAGUAGCCAAAGCUCUGUAUCUAGAGAAAGACUCGGGUAAUGGUCUGAGAAUUUACCGCCAAUGAUACUUAUGCUGAAGUUUGGUGAAAGUUGUGGGUAUCAGUCCCAUGUGGUCACGGCGAAAGCGGUGUGAAAAUGUUAGGGGUCGCUACCCGAAGCACAGCGUCACAUCACCAGUGAACGAACAUUAUCGAUGAUCA